AUAUCGCCGGUUUUAAUGACGUGCUGUUAUUAAGCCUUGUUAUAGAGGUUUAUAUUACAGGAAAAAAAAUGUUUAACACGACAGUGGUUCAGCACCUAUUUCGAAUAAAAUCACAUGACACUUUGGGACUUUUACUCUUGAUUCGUUCCUGUUCAGCUCUAAGGUAAGGGACUGUAUUAACACUGAUAAACUGUCUUUUUUGGGGGGAGAUGCUGUGCCAGUUUGUUUUGGCAAGGGAGAAUUAUUAACUCAUUCGUCAAGUCAAAAACUUUCUUUACAAGAUAUUCUAUGUGCUUGCCACUAGUGUUAAACGCGGCAUUCUGAUUAAUAUUGACAUUGUGGAAAAUGGGAAAACGAACGCAGUCAUUUUUAGCCGUCUCCGGGGGUGUUCAUUUCGUCCCUUGCUCUUGACCGAGCAUGACAUAAAAGAGACGACAGGCUUAGGAAACAACCAUCACGUGUUCUGGAUUUGGUCUUGUGACAUUCACAAGAUGAGAUUCUGACAUCACUGGCACCGUCAUGUCAUUUAGAGUCAAUGGCAAGUGGUCUUCCCGGAUGGAU
Molecule: long non-coding RNA, 561 nt
Organism: Hippocampus zosterae (dwarf seahorse)
Lineage: Eukaryota; Metazoa; Chordata; Actinopteri; Syngnathiformes; Syngnathidae
Exons: 2
Source: RefSeq, a predicted model, not a curated record